RNAcentral lists this ribosomal RNA (395 nucleotides) under uncultured bacterium. Its description in RNAcentral is "partial 16S ribosomal RNA". It matches the Rfam family "Bacterial small subunit ribosomal RNA", at positions 523 to 918 of the family's 1533-position model. The record is from RNAcentral.
AGACGAACUGUUCUAACGUUAAUCGGAAUUACUGGGCGUAAAGCGUGCGCAGGCGGUUUUGUAAGACAGAGGUGAAAUCCCCGGGCUCAACCUGGGAACUGCCUUUGUGACUGCAAGGCUAGAGUAAGGCAGAGGGGGGUGGAAUUCCGCGUGUAGCAGUGAAAUGCGUAGAUACGCGGAGGAACACCGAUGGCGAAGGCAAUCCCCUGGGCCUGUACUGACGCUCAUGCACGAAAGCGUGGGGAGCAAACAGGAUUAGAUACCCUGGUAGUCCACGCCCUAAACGAUGUCAACUGGUUGUUGGGUCUUCAUUGACUCAGUAACGAAGCUAACGCGUGAAGUUGACCGCCUGGGGAGUACGGCCGCAAGGUUGAAACUCAAAUGAAUUGGCGGGG